CCGGUGGGGGACAUGGGGUGCCCCAGAUGGGGACGGGGGGGACAGGCAGGAGGACAGGGGACAGGCGGGGACAGGUGGCUGGGGGGGAUCAGAAGCGGGGUGGCAGCAGCUGGGGGGAUGAAGCCGGGAUCCAACACCCCCCGAGAGCCGCCGGUGACCGAGGGCAGCCGCUCCGGUCCCCCCGCGUGUCCCCCGUUGUCCCCCCCGCCGUGACGUCACCAGCCGCCUCCCGGGACAAGUAACCGGGAACAGGCCGGGCUGGAACAGCCUAUCCUGGAUUACUUGAACCGGGCCGCGGCCGCCGCACCCCCGCCGUCACCCCCGGCUCCCUCCGUCCCCGCCGCUCCCGCCGUCCCCGCUCCUCUCCGCUCCCCCGGCGGCGCCUCCGGAAAAUCUGUAGGAAUGCAGAGGAAUCCCCCGGCACCCGCUGCCCAAUUUGGGGGCGGUUUUAAUUGCUUUUCAAUUACGGAACGAAACUGCCAGAGCCAGUUCCGGGGACAACUGGGACAAACUGGGACAAACUGGGACCGGACUGGGACCGGACCGAAGCCCCGCCCCCGCCAACAUCCGGGCACCUCGAGCCGCAGCCCCGCCCACCUCCCCUGCAUCACCAUUGGUCGCUGAUAAAGCCGCAGAGAAGGAAAUUCCCGGCGGAAAUUCCGCUGCGUUUGUCGGGAACUGCUGCCCCGGGACCCCUCUGAGGGGCGAUUUGGGGUUCUGGGAAACCCCAGAACUGCUGGGAAUGCUGG
Molecule: long non-coding RNA, 749 nt
Organism: Pyrgilauda ruficollis (rufous-necked snowfinch)
Lineage: Eukaryota; Metazoa; Chordata; Aves; Passeriformes; Passeridae
Exons: 3
Source: RefSeq, a predicted model, not a curated record